This 303-nucleotide small nuclear RNA is filed under the name Neotoma lepida (desert woodrat). RNAcentral describes it as "7SK RNA". It matches the Rfam family "7SK RNA". Rfam says of the family: 7SK was discovered as an abundant small nuclear RNA in the mid-70s but a possible function has only recently been suggested. Two independent studies have found that 7SK RNA binds the CDK9/cyclin T complex (known as elongation factor P-TEFb). Lineage: Eukaryota; Metazoa; Chordata; Mammalia; Rodentia; Cricetidae. The record is from Rfam by way of RNAcentral.
AGAGGUGAUCUGGAUCUGGCUGAGACAUCUGUAAUCCCAUUGGUUCAUUCAGAGGAUCUGGAUGGCUAGGUGUGUGUCUCCUCCUUCCCUUGCUGCUCUACUCCAUGUACAUCCUUCCUGAAACUGUACUCUCCACGAAAGAGGAAGAUUUCCCCUUGAUAGAUCAGGAUCAUUCUUUGGUUCAGGGUACAACAAGAGCUGCACUUCUCCACCAAAACCUCAGAACAAGGUCUCAAAGGGCUGUGUUGGAAAUCAUGCCCUCAUGUAAAAUGCAGCAAUCAAUAUCUCCAAUGCAGGGGUUUU